AUACGUAGGUGGCAAGCGUUAUUCGGAUUUAUUGGGCGUAAAGGGUCCGUAGGGGGGUUGUUAAGUCUGAUGUGAAAGCCCGUGGCUCAACCACGGAACUGCAUUGGAAACUGGUGACCUAGAGCAUAGGAGAGGUGAGUGGAAUUCCUGGUGUAGCGGUGGAAUGCGUAGAUAUCAGGAGGAACACCGGAGGCGAAGGCAGCUCACUGGACUAUUGCUGACCCUGAGGGACGAAAGCUAGGGGAGCGAACAGGAUUAGAAACCCGUGUAGUCC
This 274-nucleotide ribosomal RNA is filed under the name uncultured bacterium. Its description in RNAcentral is "partial 16S ribosomal RNA". It matches the Rfam family "Bacterial small subunit ribosomal RNA", at positions 523 to 796 of the family's 1533-position model. The record is from RNAcentral.